RNAcentral lists this ribosomal RNA (495 nucleotides) under uncultured bacterium. RNAcentral describes it as "partial 16S ribosomal RNA". It matches the Rfam family "Bacterial small subunit ribosomal RNA", at positions 28 to 507 of the family's 1533-position model. The record is from RNAcentral.
GACGAACGCUGGCGGCGUGCCUAAUACAUGCAAGUAGAACGCUGAAGGAGGAGCUUGCUUCUCUGGAUGAGUUGCGAACGGGUGAGUAACGCGUAGGUAACCUGCCUGGUAGCGGGGGAUAACUAUUGGAAACGAUAGCUAAUACCGCAUAAGAGUAGAUGUCGCAUGACAUUUGCUUAAAAGGUGCAAUUGCAUCACUACCAGAUGGACCUGCGUUGUAUUAGCUAGUUGGUGAGGUAACGGCUCACCAAGGCAACGAUACAUAGCCGACCUGAGAGGGUGAUCGGCCACACUGGGACUGAGACACGGCCCAGACUCCUACGGGAGGCAGCAGUAGGGAAUCUUCGGCAAUGGACGGAAGUCUGACCGAGCAACGCCGCGUGAGUGAAGAAGGUUGUCGGAUCGUAAAGCUCUGUUGUAAGAGAAGAACGAGUGUGAGAGUGGAAAGUUCACACUGUGACGGUAUCUGACCAGAAAGGGACGGCUAACUACGUG